AUGGCCGCCGCCGCCGCCGCGGCCACGAGGAAGGACGGCGCCGACGCCCGCCCGCCCCCGCAUCGCCUGAGGUCGCCCUCCAGGGUGGCGGCGGACUUCGCCAUGGGCGGCGCCGCGGCGGUGAUGGCCAAGACGGGGGCGGCGCCGGUGGAGCGCGUCAAGCUGCUGCUGCAGAACCAGGCCGAGAUGCUGCGCCGGGGCGCCCUCACGCGGCCCUACCGCGGGAUCGCCGACGCCUUCGCCCGCGUCCUCCGCGAGGAGGGCGCCGCCGCGCUCUGGCGCGGCAACCAGGCCAACGUCAUCCGAUACUUCCCCACCCAGGCCUGCAACUUUGCAUUCAAAGGCUACUUCAAGAGCUUCUUUGGCUAUGACAAGGAGAAAGACGGGAAAUGGAAAUGGCUAGCUGGAAAUGUAGCAUGUGGCAGUGCUGCAGGAGCCACAACAUCAUCCCUGCUAUACCAUCUGGAUUAUGCACGGACGCGGCUAGCCACUGACGCGAUUGAAUCCCGAGCUAACAAACGUCAGUUCAGGGGGUUGCUAGAUGUCUACAAGAAGACACUUGCAACUGAUGGUAUUCGUGGAUUAUACCGAGGCUUCAGUGUGUCUAUUGUGGGUAUCACUCUAUAUCGGGGUCUUUAUUUUGGCAUCUACGACACCAUGAAACCUAUUGUACUAGUAGGGCCAUUGGAGGGAAAUUUCCUGGCCAGUUUUGCCUUGGGAUGGACAAUAACUACAUUCUCCGGGGCCUGCGCCUACCCAUUUGAUACACUCCGACGAAGAAUGAUGUUAACUUCAGGGCAGCCAUUCAAAUACAGGAGCGCCUUCCAUGCCGUAAAACAGAUAGUUUCCACUGAAGGGUUCUUCACUCUAUUCAGAGGGGUCGGUGCAAAUAUCCUCUCGGGAAUGGCAGGAGCUGGAGUUCUUGCUGGGUAUGACCAGCUCCAACGGUUUGCAGGCCAGCAUGAUUACAAAAUUGAGAACAAGAUGAAAGGGGCAUUGAAAUGA
RNAcentral lists this ribosomal RNA (1005 nucleotides) under Triticum aestivum (bread wheat). Its description in RNAcentral is "partial small subunit ribosomal RNA". Lineage: Eukaryota; Viridiplantae; Streptophyta; Magnoliopsida; Poales; Poaceae. The record is from RNAcentral.